Molecule: long non-coding RNA, 637 nt
Organism: Strigops habroptila (Kakapo)
Lineage: Eukaryota; Metazoa; Chordata; Aves; Psittaciformes; Psittacidae
Exons: 2
Source: RefSeq, a predicted model, not a curated record
GGGAGUUGUAGUCCUCUCGGGUUGACCUGGCCUCCGCCGGAGCCGCUGCGCACCACGCAGUGGUUUUGAGAGCACAUUCCCAGGGCCGGGUGCUGUGUUAAGCCUGUGCUGAUCGGCUGGAGCUGGGAAGCUGAAGGCCAGCGAGGCGGGAUGCUGCCGUCACUCCCAUCACUCCCAUCGCUCCCGCUGCUCCCAUCGGAGGACGGCGUGUUCCUGGGAUUACGCAAGAACGGGCAGCGUGUGCCCCCGGCCCCUCGCUGCCACGAUGGGCAGUGAUCCCCCAUCUCCAUUCACAGCCUCUGCGUCCCCACGUGAAAUGGGAAACCUUGGAAAAGCAGAAGUGUGGCUGGAAUUAGGAUUAAGCUAUUUUUAGCAGCUGCCUUGUGCCCUGUCCAUGCUCCAGCUGGGAUGUUUAAUUCUAUCUGGGACAACUCUUUCUGCAGUUGCACCCAGGAUUGAUACAAACAUUUCCUUUUAAACCUUGAAUCUGUUGUAUUUUUCUUCAGUUUUAGUUGAGCACUGUGGUUUUUACCAAAACCCUUUUUUCCCUCCACAUCUACAAUAACUGGAAAAUCCAGCAGUAAAGUAAUACAAAUGUUGCUGUAUAAUAAAAGAAGUUGUAGAACUUUUACUAUCA